CAUGUCCAGCUGGGAACGACCAAGGGAAAGACCCAGGACUAGAUGGAGAGAUUAUAUCUCAAUACUGGCCUUGGGAACACCUCGGGAUCCACCAGUCAGAGGUGGUUAAUGUGGCCAGGGAAAGGGAAGUUUUGGGAUCCCCUGCUUGAGCUGUUGCUCCCAUAACCUGAUAAGUGGUUAAGAUGUUUGUAUGUAAUGCAAUUAUUU
Thalassophryne amazonica is the source of this 207-nucleotide long non-coding RNA. RefSeq lists it as uncharacterized. NCBI's taxonomy places the organism in Eukaryota, Metazoa, Chordata, Actinopteri, Batrachoidiformes, Batrachoididae. The record is from RefSeq and is a predicted model, not a curated record. The transcript has 4 exons.